GGAAUUCUUACUGGUUGGUAGGUAAUCAAAUACUUAUGUCAUGCAAUAAAAUGCAUAUUAAUUACUUAAAAAUCACACAAUGUGAUUUUCUGGAUUUUUGUUUUAGAUUCCGUCUCUCACAGUUGAAGUGUACCACUGUAUUUGCCUCAAAGAUGUCAUACCAUAUCUAUGUAGGACAGCUGGUCUCCAACAAGUGGAUUGUGAGCUAGCAAUAGCUUACAGCCCACCUAUGAGUAUUCCACCAAUCAAUUCUGAAAGUACAUGCAUUUUUUUAUGUGUUCCAUCACAAACUGUCAUAAACAUAAAGCUCCCUGCUACUAAACAAGCAAAGCCACUUUGACAUUAUCCCUUUGCUGGUUUGCCACUAUUGCCUUCAAAACCAAACGUAAAACAAUACACAUUGCCUUGUCUCAUGCCCUUCGGCACACUUCUCACACCUAGGAACCUCCCUCCAACACACUGCUGCCACGUGCCCUUAAGCCUGACACCUGUAACAAUGUAAUGUAUUCGGCACAAAAGCUUGUAUGGGAUAACUUAUACAGUAUAUCCUAACAUCACUUUGUAGGGCAAACACUCAACAUCAAAACUCAAGAGAACAGACAUCGACUCUUCUGUUCCACCACUCACGCCACCCUGUCUCCGACGAGCAUCACAAACACUGUAAAUCUUCCCCUUUAGUUGGUCAACUUUCACAUGUUCUGCUACACCAGCAUUCACUCAAAUCAAAUGUAUUUAUAAAGCCCUUCUUACAUCAGCUGAUAUCUCAAAAUCACGUCAGUGACUCAACCCACUCAAGUGACGUACCCCACCUAGGGACAGCAUGGAAAAGCACCAGUAAGCCAGUGACUCAGCCCCUGUAAUAGGGUUAGAAGCAGAGAAUCCCAGUGGAGAAAGGGGAACUGGCCAAGCAGAGACAGCAAGGGCGGUUCUUUGCUCCAGUGCCUUUCCGUUCACCUUCACACUACUGGGCCAGAAUACACUCAAUCACAGGACUCACUGAAGAGAUGAGUCUUCAAUAAAGACAUAAAGGUUGAGACCGAGUCUGCAUCUCUCACAUUGUUAGGCAGACAAUUCCAUAAAAAUGGAGCUCUAUAGGAGAAAGCCCUGCCUCCAGCUGUUUGCUUCGAGAUUCUAGGGACAGUUAGGAGGCCUGCGUCUUGUGACUGUAGCGUGCGUGUAGGUAGGUACGGCAGGACCAAAUCGGAAAGAUAGGUAGGAGCAAGCCCAUGUAAUGCUUUGUAGGUUAACAGUAACACCUUGAAAUCAGCCCUUGCCUUAACAGGAAGCGUGUAUAGAGGCUAGCACUGGAGUAAUAUGAUCACAUUUUGGGGUUCUAGCCAAGAUUCUAGCAGCCGUGUUUAGCACUAACUGUCACGACUUCCACCGAAGGUGGUUCCUCUCCUUGUUCGGGGCGGUGCUCGGCGGUCGGCUUCGCCGGCCUACUAGCCAUCACCGAUCCAUUUUUCUUUUUCCUUUUGUUUUGUCUUUGGUUCAUUCACACCUGGUUUUCAUUUGCUUAAAUUUCUGUGUGUUUCUUUACCUAAAUUUCCCCGCUUAGGUUUGUGCGGGAUUAUUUUCAUGUUGCUUGUGGAGGCUUUCCUCAGUUUAUUCACAUGUGUUUAUUAUAGUGAGGAGCAUUCGUUUUUUCUCCUUCCAUGAGUAACUGUGAGUUCCCAUUGUCUUGGGCUUUUUUUGGUGAUUGUACCUGUACAGUUUUUUGGACUUGCCCAUUAAAAAAUGCUCUCU
Long non-coding RNA from Oncorhynchus tshawytscha (Chinook salmon), 1746 nucleotides. The record is from Ensembl. NCBI's taxonomy places the organism in Eukaryota, Metazoa, Chordata, Actinopteri, Salmoniformes, Salmonidae.